UGAAGUCGGAAUUGCUAGUAAUCGCGGAUCAGCAUGCCACGGUGAAUACGUUCCCGGGCCUUGUACACACCGCCCGUCACACCAUGGGAGCCGGUAAUACCCGAAGUCAGUAGUCCAACCUCGUGAGGACGCUGCCGAAGGUAGGAUUGGCGACUGGGGUGAAGUCGUAACAAGGUAGC
RNAcentral lists this ribosomal RNA (179 nucleotides) under uncultured bacterium. RNAcentral describes it as "partial 16S ribosomal RNA". It matches the Rfam family "Bacterial small subunit ribosomal RNA", at positions 1321 to 1500 of the family's 1533-position model. The record is from RNAcentral.